UACGUAGGGUGCGAGCGUUAAUCGGAAUUACUGGGCGUAAAGCGUGCGCAGGCGGUUUUGUAAGCCAGAUGUGAAAUCCCCGGGCUUAACCUGGGAAUGGCAUUUGGGACUGCAAGGCUGGAGUGUGGCAGAGGAGACUGGAAUUCCUGGUGUAGCGGUGAAAUGCGCAGAUAUCAGGAAGAACACCCGUGGCGAAGGCGGCUCUCUGGGACGGUACUGACGCUGAGACGCGAAAGCGUGGGGAGCGAACAGG
Molecule: ribosomal RNA, 253 nt
Filed under: uncultured bacterium
Lineage: Bacteria
Description: partial 16S ribosomal RNA
Rfam family: Bacterial small subunit ribosomal RNA
Source: RNAcentral